Molecule: long non-coding RNA, 4349 nt
Organism: Pelodiscus sinensis (Chinese soft-shelled turtle)
Lineage: Eukaryota; Metazoa; Chordata; Testudines; Trionychidae
Source: RefSeq, a predicted model, not a curated record
UGGCUUUCCCACAAUGUGUGCCCUGAGACUGUGCUCAGUGUUUUGUGAUCUCUGCUGCCCUGAAGGUAUGUGCCCACCCCUUUCAAAGCUCUGGGAAGUAUCUGACAGCUGAGUGAGCUGCUCCAUUUGGGGAAAAAAGAUGGAAUAAGUCAUUGGUGUGCUCCUUCCUGUUUUGCCCUGCUAAGGACACAAUGGCAGGCAGACUGCUGCUGCAGGGGGAGGCCUGGAGAGACUGCUGUGGUGCUUUGACAUUCCUCAGCAUGGAGAGGCUCGCAGAGCAGUUCUGCUUUCUCACAACACUGCACUGUGGAAUGCUCACUCACAUUGCUUUGCUCUGUCCACAGCGGAGUUAGCAAUGUGGCCAUGAAAUGUUGACAAAGGGAGGCAUAAAAACUGGUUUUCACUUUGGCAACUUUUGCAUGUCAACAGCAGUUUUGUCAUCAAAACUUCCCAGUGUAGAUAUAAAUUCCCAGUAUAGAUGUAGUCUUAAUAUUGUAAAAAUAGACAUUAGAAUUAUAAAAAUGUGUUUUAGUGUUUAGACUUCAUUGAAUGCUUGUGAGUUGCUACCUGCUUUAAUCUCACUUGUAACUUGUACAUCCCGUAUUGUAAGGUAAUAUUUGAACUGCUGUAUUGUGAACUUCUUGGCUAUGUAAAGAGCAGAAUAGAGACAUUAAUUAGUGUGAAGGCUGAUUUUCAACACAAGGUCUUAUGCCCUUCCCAGAAGGAGAGGCCCAUUGAUACCAGAAAGACUGUUCUGGGAAGUUACAAUUAGAGUGUUUUUGUUCUGCACUUCUGUGAAGAUGAGUCAUGCAACUGGAUUCCUCUCAUCAGCUGAAUUUGCAGCUCAGAGCACAAGAAGGGGGAUACAAACUGCAAACAAAAGGAACUUGAAAAUCUCUAUGUUACUUAGGCUCUGGGGCACAAGGAUUUUGUAGACAUAAGCAUGAGAGCCCCAGCUGUUUAACCUGGGUUCGCUCUAAAGCACAUAUCAGCAGGCUAUAUAAUGGAAACAUUUAUUACCUUUUGGAACUUAAGAUUGUAACUCGUUUGUGUAUAUGUGUUUACCUGCUUUAAUCUUGUAAAUCUCUCUUUUUCUUUUACUAUGUAAUACUAUUUUAUAUAGCUGCUUAUAGGAUUGACUACAGACAUUGUCAUUGGUGUGAGAUCUAAAGUACAACUGAUCUUGGAGGCUCCACACACUGAAAGGAAAAACCUAAUCUUUGCAUCAACAUGGAGCAUCCUGCAUGCAAUGUACUGCAAUGAUUACAGCCUCUGAUCUUACUAAUUCUCUUCUCAGACUGCUAUGGGAUAACCUAUGCUUCAGGAUCAAGGCCAACUCCAUUAUUGAGAGAAUUUGGAUACAAAAAGGAUUAACAAAAAGUAAUGCUAUAAUACAAGAUGCUAGGUGGCUUAAUACUUAAUACAAUUAUGGCUCAAAGAAAAAUGGAAAAAAAGAGACUAGCUUUCCUAUUGCAACAGAAACCUCGGAGGAUAUCUGGUUUCAUGUGAAAGAUAUUUAAAGGUCUUUAUCCUUGUGAUUCUUCCAGAACAAAAUAUUAAACAGCUACUAUUGAACUCCAGAAUGUUUGUUUUAAGACUAGACUGACAACACACAGUGAAUGUUGGAGAUACAAUCAAUCACAUGUCAAUCUUUCGCAUACCCUCAAUACCUAUCUCAAAUGCAUGUAUUCUGGAACACUAUAUUCAGUGCUCACUCAAAAAAAUGUAAGUCUUACUUUCUUUCUUUCUCUCUCAAAUCUUGUGUAUUUUAGUGGUGCUGGCAUAAUCAAUUAACAUUUAUAAAUGGAUUGCAAUAACUUUUAGUGGCCAAGACAUUUCUUUUGAGAAAAUGAAAGUCUGAAUUUCUCCCUCAUAUGCAGACUGGUUUAGUGAGCUCUCUACUAUUGUGUGAAUGGAAAAAAUGACUCUAACAGAAACACUUGGAAAAAAUACAAGGACAUCUGGUCAAAUAUAAAACUAUUAAAUACUAAACUGCAAAAAUAUACAUUAGUCCCUCACACUCACAGGUUAUGUUCUCACUUACCUAUUUAGUCACUGUGAUUGAAGCACUGCAGGAGCUUUGUGAGUUCAGGUUUUGCAAAUAAUGAAUUUUCUUUAUGUACUGUUUCAGUCUUGUGCAUGUAUUUAUAUAUUUUUUGGUUUUCAACAUGUUUGUUUUUAUUGUAAUAUUAAAAACAACGUUUAAAAAUACUAUGUUAGGUUCCCACUAAUGGCCAGGCUAAGGAAAAUGGAAAGAUUCUUUGGAUAUGAAACAUGCAAAUGAGAAACUCAAUGAUGACCCUCAACAAUAUUGACCCAACUGGACAAGACAUUUCAAAAUGGCUCCAACUCAUUUGUUUGAUACUAGGUUGUUUUUAUGCUAUCAAAAAGGCUGAAUAUUAUUUUUUAGGAAGACUUACAUGGUAUAUCAUUCACACUAAGGGGUACAUGUGUUUCUCCUCUUGUUACAACUUCCAGUUCCUAUACUCUGAAGACUGUUCUCUCACAUCUGAAUUUCUAGCAUCUCCAUGUUUGUUGACAAUGCGCAUGAUUAAAAUGGUAUUUUCAUAUUUCAGUGCAGUUGAGGCCCCUUAAAGCAGAGGGCUGCAAGUGCAAAAAAGAGAUAUGUUGUUCCCUAAUGGCUUAUUACCAUCACAUUUGCAAUUCAGAUCAGUUCUAAAUUGACUGAAUUUUUUAAACACAUAGCAGGCAGUUUAAACUAAUGAUUGUCUGGAGGUUCACAUCUGACAUGAACUAAGCUUCUGUUCAAAACAAAUUGCAAAUAAUUCCUCCCUUAGAGUCAAAAUGUCACUUUUUAAACUGUGCAUUGUUGCCAGAUUUUGUCAGUUACAUAAAAAAACCCUUCCCAUACAGUGACUACUCUACAGUUGAAAGUACUGGCUUUUUUAUUGCUUUGUUUAAAAGAAUAUAUAUAUUCACAUCUCAAUAGUCUGACUAAAAAUCCUUUCCCCGCCCCCCUCAAAAAUCCUAAUGGUAAAGUAAAAGGCCCUUGGGGCAGUGGUAGGCCUGAGUUGCUUAGCAACCCUCAGCAGGUAGUAGAGAUUCAGCUGCAGCUGUCCUGAUUCUUUCCUAAGAAUCUCCUUAUUACUGUUUGUGUUAAUCUUUAACCAGGCUUUUAAGCCAUGGUCUUUCUCUUUGGUCCCUUGUUGUUAGAUUGCAGAGGCCUACUCAAAUGUUAUCCCAAAGGUAAUGUAUUAAGGAUGACUAUUGAAUGCUUGAAGAAUGAUAAGCUCUGAAAGGAUUAGACUUGCAUGUUCUAACUAACUUUAUUUUACAUGCCAUGCUCAAUAUUAUGAAAAUUGUACCCUCUUAGGAAAAAUGGUCAGUUUUGACACACAGCUUUAAACUUGCUUUUUCUUCCAGCUGAAUAAAUUUGGUAAAGCUGCCUCUACGUCAUUGCUUCUUUUAACAUAUUCUCCUGCAAUGAUCAGUCAAGGAAGUAAUUCAAAAUUCAGCAUUUCAAAGUCUUUCAAAGCAUAGGCAAAAAGCCAAUCCCCGUCCCCCAUGCCCACCCUGAAAAAAUCUAGGAGUAUUUGUGAGCAUAUAUUAUUGAGAAUUGAGACAGCCUUUUCCUUGAAAGAAAUAGUCCUGCUAGUACAUGUUAGAGAAUCUAGAUAAUCUCACUGCUUGGUAGUUGUUCAUGGGAAGGUUGUUGCAAAUUUCUAAAGGAAGAAAAUUAAUAACAAGAAAAAAAUCCAGCUCUGAUACCACCCUUUUUAUGCUCUUUUUUCACUCUCAUUGUUAUGGGAGCAAAUAAAUACAGGCACAAUGAAUGUUGUUCACGUAGACAUGCUAAUUGAUUUGUUCUCAAAGUGUUUGCGUGCACGUAAAAAAGGCCUAUACUGUACAUCUCCUCUGAGAAAGUUCUUUACUUUCAGCUGCCAGUUACAUUUUAAACUUGAUGUUAUAUAUUGAUGUGAUGUGAUCAACAAUAUGUUACAUGUUCCCAAACCCUAUGUAUGAUGCAUCAACAUAUCAUUCGUGUUACCUCUUUGGGUAACAACUAUAGGGAAAUGGUAGUACAGUAGAAAGUGGAAUUUGGGUAAUUUUGGGGGAGAAGACCAAUAUUCUCCACUCUCUAGUUCUGAUAUCUUGUGUAGCCAUUUAAAUAAUCUGGUUACUUUGCCGCCCUUCCUCAUUUCUCUCCUUUGCCAGAUGCUUCUAAAAUUAAUCUAAAUUAUAGAGCUGGCUGGAAUUUUGCAAGAGGAAAAAUAUCUCACCAAAAAUAUGAUUUAGUAGAACCCAUUUUUUUGUGAGCUGGAAAAUGUCUAUUCCAAUGGGUGAAAAAAAACCUUAAUUUUUCUCACAAGACAUUUUGAAACAAUUUU